RNAcentral lists this transfer RNA (69 nucleotides) under Ictidomys tridecemlineatus (thirteen-lined ground squirrel). Its description in RNAcentral is "Spermophilus tridecemlineatus (thirteen-lined ground squirrel) tRNA". It matches the Rfam family "tRNA". Rfam says of the family: Transfer RNA (tRNA) molecules are approximately 80 nucleotides in length. Lineage: Eukaryota; Metazoa; Chordata; Mammalia; Rodentia; Sciuridae. The record is from Rfam by way of RNAcentral.
GGGGUUGUAGCUUAUUGGUAGAGCACUUGCCUUGCAUGUGUGAGGCACUGGGUUUGAUUCUCAGCACCA